GGCGUGCCUAAUACAUGCAAGUCGAGCGAGCGGAACUAACAGAUUUACUUCGGUAAUGACGUUAGGAAAGCGAGCGGCGGAUGGGUGAGUAACACGUGGGGAACCUGCCCCAUAGUCUGGGAUACCACUUGGAAACAGGUGCUAAUACCGGAUAAGAAAGCAGAUCGCAUGAUCAGCUUUUAAAAGGCGGCGUAAGCUGUCGCUAUGGGAUGGCCCCGCGGUGCAUUAGCUAGUUGGUAAGGUAAAGGCUUACCAAGGCGAUGAUGCAUAGCCGAGUUGAGAGACUGAUCGGCCACAUUGGGACUGAGACACGGCCCAAACUCCUACGGGAGGCAGCAGUAGGGAAUCUUCCACAAUGGACGCAAGUCUGAUGGAGCAACGCCGCGUGAGUGAAGAAGGUUUUCGGAUCGUAAAGCUCUGUUGUUAGUGAAGAAGGAUAGAGGUAGUAACUGGCCUUUAUUUGACGGUAAUCAACCAGAAAGUCACAGCUAACUACGUGCCAGCAGCCGCGGUAAUACGUAGGUGGCAAGCGUUGUCCGGAUUUAUUGGGCGUAAAGCGAGCGCAGGCGGAAGAAUAAGUCUGAUGUGAAAGCCCUCGGCUUAACCGAGGAACUGCAUCGGAAACUGUUUUUCUUGAGUGCAGAAGAGGAGAGUGGAACUCCAUGUGUAGCGGUGGAAUGCGUAGAUAUAUGGAAGAACACCAGUGGCGAAGGCGGCUCUCUGGUCUGCGACUGACGCUGAGGCUCGAAAGCAUGGGUAGCGAACAGGAUUAGAUACCCUGGUAGUCCAUGCCGUAAACGAUGAGUGCUAAGUGUUGGGAGGUUUCCGCCUCUCAGUGCUGCAGCUAACGCAUUAAGCACUCCGCCUGGGGAGUACGACCGCAAGGUUGAAACUCAAAGGAAUUGACGGGGGCCCGCACAAGCGGUGGAGCAUGUGGUUUAAUUCGAAGCAACGCGAAGAACCUUACCAGGUCUUGACAUCUAGUGUCAUUUGUAGAGAUACAAAGUUCCCUUCGGGGACGCUAAGACAGGUGGUGCAUGGCUGUCGUCAGCUCGUGUCGUGAGAUGUCGGGUUAAGUCCCGCAACGAGCGCAACCCUUGUUAUUAGUUGCCAGCAUUAAGUUGGGCACUCUAAUGAGACUGCCGGUGACAAACCGGAGGAAGGUGGGGAUGACGUCAAGUCAUCAUGCCCCUUAUGACCUGGGCUACACACGUGCUACAAUGGGCAGUACAACGAGAAGCGAGCCUGCGAAGGCAAGCGAAUCUCUGAAAGCUGUUCUCAGUUCGGACUGCAGUCUGCAACUCGACUGCACGAAGCUGGAAUCGCUAGUAAUCGCGGAUCAGCACGCCGCGGUGAAUACGUUCCCGGGCCUUGUACACACCGCCCGUCACACCAUGGGAGUCUGCAAUGCCCAAAGCCGGUGGCCUAACCUUCGGGAAGGAGCCGUCUAAGGCAGGGCAGAUGACUGGGGU
Molecule: ribosomal RNA, 1472 nt
Filed under: uncultured organism
Description: 16S ribosomal RNA
Rfam family: Bacterial small subunit ribosomal RNA
Source: RNAcentral